GUGAGGUGCGGCGCAGGGUCUGUGAGGUGUGGCACGGCGUCUGUGAGGUGUGGCGCGGCGUCUGUGACGUAGGGCGCAGGGUCUGUGAGGUGCGGCGCAGGGUCUGUGAGGUGUGGCACGGCGUCUGUGAGGUGUGGCGCGGCGUCUGUGAGGUGUGGCGCGGCGUCUGUGAGGUGGGGCGCAGGGUCUGUGAGGUGUGGCACGGCGUCUGUGAGGUGUGGCGCGGCGUCUGUGAUGUAGGGCGCAGGGUCUGUGAGGUGCGGCGCAGGGUCUGAGGUGUGGCGCGGCGUCUGUGAGGUGCGGCGCGGCGUCUGUGAGGGGCGCGGCGUCUGUGAUGGGCGCAGGGUCUGUGAGGUGCAAAGGCCAUUUAGUGUGUGGCCUUAGUUAAUUUUUUGUUUUCAAUUUUCUGUCUCUCAUGUUAUUGAUCUGUAAAAGGAGCAUAAUCGUAAGUGUCUCUUCUUAUUAGGUUACUUGUGAGGCGUAAGUGAAGUACUAUGUGUUAACUAGUAUCAUGAAACUACAGCCUCACUCUCCGGAGGAAAUAGUGUAAUGAUAGCGCCGUUUACAGGGUGCACCGUAACAGGAGGCAAAAACAGAGGUGGAUACGUGCAGAGAAGUCUUUAGGUGGUCUUGACACUAGAGCUGAAUUUGAAGGAAGUUGAGAACUUGUUAGAUGAAGGGACCUGAGAACAGGAACAAGUGUUCACCAAGACCGGUCUGUGUGAACACACAGAGGCGGAAAUCAUGCCAAAACUUGCAGAGUGGCAGGAAACUCCAUUCAGCUGGAGAAAGCAUACAUAUGGAGGGAGUGAAAGGAGAUAACAGUGGAGAGGUCUGGGCAAAUUUAGGCUGACUUCAAGAAGGCAGGAGUUUCCUGUGAAGAAAAUUGACUGAUACAGAUUUGUGUUUUAGAAAAGUCAGUCUGUCAGCAGCUGGGAAGGUGAAGGGGAGGUGUCACACCAGAUGUAAUAAAAUUGGUUAGUGGGAUUUAGCCAUUGUUUUAAAGAGUGGUGAAGGUAAGGGGAGUGUGGAGAGAGAGAACUUUUUGGAAGUUGGUUAUAUUGAUGGGACAUGUGGAUGUGACUAUGAAGAGACGGAAUCAAAAAUGGGCCAGAAGUCCUAAAUCUGAGCAACCUGUGGCAUGUGCACAUAAAUAUGACCCGGGGACAUGUGGGUGUGAGAGUCUUUAUUUCAGCAAAAUAUACUAAGCUAGAGGUAUAGAUUUUGGAAUCUUCAACAAUUAAUUGGCCAUUGUGGCCAAGUGAAAACAUUAGGAGUCUAAAGAUAGAGCUGUGGCCAACACUCAUAUUUAAAGAAAGGCUUGAGAAGCCCAGUGAUGCAAGAAGUGUCAAGAAAAUAUCACUAUAAAAAUGUUUGAGAAGCAUGGUACUAGUCAUCAGUGUUAAAUGUGCUUCUGGUGAGGGGUUCAGGAAGUUUCCAAUCAUGACGGAAGGUGAAGAAGAGUAGGCAUCACAUAGCAAGAGGGGAUGCAAGACACAGGGAGAGAGAGAAGAGGGAGGCACCAGGAUGCUUUCAGCAAUCAAUGUCAGGAAAACUGAUAGAGCAAGAAGUCACUCAUUGUCACAAGGACGGCACCAAGCCCUUUCUGAGGAAUCUGCCCCAUGACCCAAACACCUCCCACCAGGCCCUACCACCAACACAGGGGAUCACAGUUCAAUGUGCGAUUUGGAGGCAAAACAUAUACAAACUAUACUAGGAAGACAAACUGAUGUGAGGAUGAGGAGGAGUCAGAAAUAAACUCAUUCAACUAAUACUUGAGUAGCUACUGUUGCCUACAGUAUGUUCAAGGUUUUGCUAGUCAUCCAUAUGAUCACUAUUGACAGCUUGGGAGACUCACACAGGCUAGUGAAUUUCAGGAAUUAACAGAAACUGAACAGCUUCUAUAAUCCUGCAGGAAGUAACCUCUGGAUGGCACAAUGGAGUCUCACUCUGUUGCCCAGGCUGGAGUGCAAUGGCACAAUCUCAGCUCACCACAAGCUCCGCCUCCUGCGUUCAAGUGAUUCUCCUGCCUUAGCCUUCUGAGUAGCUGGUAUUACAGGUGCCUGCUACCAUGGCCAGCUAAGUUUUGUAUUUUUAGUAGAGACAGGGUUUCACCAUGUUGGCCAGGCUGUUCUCAAACUCCUGACCUCAAGUGAUCUGCCCGCCUAAGCCUCCCAAAGUGCUGGGAUUACAAGCAUGAGCCGCCGCACCCGGCCUCUGCUAAGUUUACAACCUGCAAAUUCUAUCCAAAAUAUAUACAUAUUUUCUUGUAUUUUUCAUUUAAUGCACCAAAAUAAAAAAAAAAUUGUUUUUCAUUUUCUGCUGGUUAUUACUUAGAGGCUAGAUUUAUUUUGUAAACUAUGCCCUAAAUUGUUCCUUUGACUAUUUUUAAGUUUAUCUACCUACUCUGAAGUGUGGAAGGUGAGAGUAAUGAAUUGGCCCAGGUGAAAUCUAAUCAUAGAUAAUAAAGCUGCUGCUAAUAAAAAUGCUCAAGUAACCCUCAAGCUAAGUAAGACUCUGCCCCCAGCAAAAAUAGAACUUUAAAACAUGCUAUGCUACCAUUAAUAGGAAAAAAAAAUGUAAAUUCAUUCAAAAAGUUUAGUAAAGGAAACUUUAAAUAUUUUCUGAAGAACUCAAAAGGAAUAGAAGCAAAUUGUAUAAUCAAAAUUCAGGAUAUGACUAUUUAAGAAGUAAUCAACUGAGCUUGCAAAACAUGUAUUGUAGUUUAGAGAUUUUUGCAGUUUUUGCACUUUCCUACAUUUCUUAAAAUAAAUAUAUAAACAAAUAAAUGUACAAUUUCAAAUUGUGAUUGUUAGUAUGAAUAUUUUAAAAGAUGAAAAAAGAGCUUAAGGAAGUGUGAUCUUCCCAUGAUGGCCUUUGCUGGCCACCCAAACUAAGAUUUAAUUCUCUCAAUCUCAC
RNAcentral lists this long non-coding RNA (2919 nucleotides) under Homo sapiens (human). Its description in RNAcentral is "HSALNT0324538". The record is from RNAcentral. Lineage: Eukaryota; Metazoa; Chordata; Mammalia; Primates; Hominidae.